GAUGAAGAACGUAGCGAAAUGCGAUACGUAAUGUGAAUUGCAGAAUUCAGUGAAUCAUCGAAUCUUUGAACGCAUAUUGCGCCCGCCAGCAUUCUGGCGGGCAUGCCUGUUCGAGCGUCAUUUCAACCCUCGACCUCCCCUUGGGGAGGUCGGCGUUGGGGACCGGCAGCACACCGCCGGCCCUGAAAUGGAGUGGCGGCCCGUCCGCGGCGACCUCUGCGCAGUAAUACAGCUCGCACCGGGACCCCGACGCGGCCACGCCGUAAAACACCCAACUUCUGAACGUUGACCUCGAAUCAGGUAGGACUACCCGCUGAACUUAAGCAUAUCAAUAAGCGGAGGA
RNAcentral lists this unclassified non-coding RNA (343 nucleotides) under soil metagenome. Its description in RNAcentral is "partial contains 5.8S ribosomal RNA, internal transcribed spacer 2, and large subunit ribosomal RNA". The stretch from base 1 to 120 matches the Rfam family "5.8S ribosomal RNA", at positions 35 to 154 of the family's 154-position model. The record is from RNAcentral.